RNAcentral lists this ribosomal RNA (505 nucleotides) under uncultured bacterium. RNAcentral describes it as "partial 16S ribosomal RNA". It matches the Rfam family "Bacterial small subunit ribosomal RNA", at positions 28 to 507 of the family's 1533-position model. The record is from RNAcentral.
GACGAACGCUGGCGGCGUGCCUAGUACAUGCAAGUGGGACGCAAGGACACACACUGUGCUUGCACACCGUGUUUUCUUGAGUCGCGAACGGGUGAGUAACGCGUAGGUAACCUGCCUAUUAGCGGGGGAUAACUAUUGGAAACGAUAGCUAAUACCGCAUAAUAUUAAUUAUUGCAUGAUAAUUGAUUGAAAGAUGCAAGCGCAUCACUAGUAGAUGGACCUGCGUUGUAUUAGCUAGUUGGUAAGGUAAGAGCUUACCAAGGCGACGAUACAUAGCCGACCUGAGAGGGUGAUCGGCCACACUGGGACUGAGACACGGCCCAGACUCCUACGGGAGGCAGCAGUAGGGAAUCUUCGGCAAUGGACGAAAGUCUGACCGAGCAACGCCGCGUGAGUGAAGAAGGUUUUCGGAUCGUAAAGCUCUGUUGUAAGUCAAGAACGUGUGUGAGAGUGGAAAGUUCACACAGUGACGGUAGCUUACCAGAAAGGGACGGCUAACUACGUG